UGGAGCAACAAGGGCGCUAUAGGCAUUGGCGGAAAGGGUGGUCAAAAAAGAGUUUAAAAUGUCAAUUUUGACAGUGUUUGUCGGAGCCUACAGAGAAGCUGCUCUCUUCUGCUCAAGGAAAGCGACACAGAUGGCAGCACUGGCCCCAAAGCAAAUAAAAAAAAUCCUGAGAUGGAAAGAGCAGCUGGCAGAGAUAGUUUUGGUCAACUCUGAAUAUGUUCCCAAAAGAGAGGCACUAUCAACAAUGGAGCUCUCAACAUGUUUGAUUCAAGCAUAGUUUAAAUGCUGUUAAAACAUGA
Notolabrus celidotus (New Zealand spotty) is the source of this 299-nucleotide long non-coding RNA. RefSeq lists it as uncharacterized. Lineage: Eukaryota; Metazoa; Chordata; Actinopteri; Labriformes; Labridae. The record is from RefSeq and is a predicted model, not a curated record. The transcript is spliced from 3 exons.